GUGUAAGAAGCGAGAAUUUGCAUUUGGCUUCGGACCAAACUUUGGGGGUGUAAACCCCUCUUUGCACU
This 68-nucleotide transfer RNA is filed under the name Bathytoma punicea. RNAcentral describes it as "tRNA-Arg". It matches the Rfam family "tRNA". Rfam says of the family: Transfer RNA (tRNA) molecules are approximately 80 nucleotides in length. Their secondary structure includes four short double-helical elements and three loops (D, anti-codon, and T loops). Lineage: Eukaryota; Metazoa; Mollusca; Gastropoda; Neogastropoda; Conidae. The record is from RNAcentral.